CACGUAGGGUGCAAGCGUUGUCCGGAAUCAUUGGGCGUAAAGAGCUCGUAGGCGGCUUAGUAAGUCGGGUGUGAAACCUCCAGGCUCAACCUGGAGACGCCACCCGAUACUGCUAUAGCUAGAGUCCAGUAGGGGAGUGCGGAAUUCCCGGUGUAGCGGUGAAAUGCGCAGAUAUCGGGAGGAACACCAGCGGCGAAGGCGGCACUCUGGGCUGGAACUGACGCUCAGGAGCGAAAGCGUGGGUAGCGAACAGGAUUAGAAACCCCCGUAGUCC
RNAcentral lists this ribosomal RNA (274 nucleotides) under uncultured bacterium. RNAcentral describes it as "partial 16S ribosomal RNA". It matches the Rfam family "Bacterial small subunit ribosomal RNA", at positions 524 to 796 of the family's 1533-position model. The record is from RNAcentral.